GGAGCCAUGAUGAUGGAGAAAGGAGACCUGAGGCUGUAAUUGGGACUAGAAGCUUGUUGGCUGAAUGAACAAAUUGUAUUAGGACAGAUGCAGAGGGACCAGAGCACUGAUCAACUGUCACUUGUGGUGGUACUGGGUGUUGAACCUGGAACCUCAGGGUCUCAGGCAUGAAAAUCUUUUUGUAUAACCAUUAUGCUGUCUUUCCAGAGAGGACCAUGAAAUUUAACUCCAGGAUUGCUUCUUCAGUGGUCGUGAGCACUUACAGGGGAGCAACAUUCUGCCUCUCAUUCUCCUUGAUCUUCAUAUCCCAACAUUUGGUCAGGUGUUUAUUAUAAGUGAUCAGAAGUGGACUUUUAAUGGCUGAAGAGAUACUUCCUUUGGUAUGACACCCACCUUGCCUUUUGCACAACCCAGGUUUGAGGUGGACACCAUUUGUCAGUGGUAUGGCCUUAGGGGAAAUGCUAGUGUUGUGGUUCUCUCUUCCUCCCCAUCCAUCCCCAUGUCUGUCUGUCUAUGUCUGUUUUGGUUUCUGAAAAAAUUGGUCCAAAGUGGCGAAGUUGUACAUAUCUGAGGUGCUGGUAACACCAGAACAUAAAGUAAAAAGUAGGGUUUGCGGGAAGAAGAUUCAUGGAGACAAUUGUUUUUUUGUUUAAUAUUUGAUAUGCUUUUGGGCUGGGUGUAAAUAUUUCUUAAUGUGUUAAUCCUGAUAACAGGUUUCUAAUAUUGUCAGGUCAGUUUCCUGACCAGCAAAAUAAAAGUAGCAUUAAUCUGAGUUAUUUAGCAAUUAAUGUGCAUUAACAAAUAAGAAAUAUUUCAAGUGCCGGGUUAGAAAGUUGGCAAAGUGAAACCACACUCCA
Erinaceus europaeus (western European hedgehog) is the source of this 857-nucleotide long non-coding RNA. RefSeq lists it as uncharacterized. The transcript is spliced from 3 exons. The record is from RefSeq and is a predicted model, not a curated record. NCBI's taxonomy places the organism in Eukaryota, Metazoa, Chordata, Mammalia, Eulipotyphla, Erinaceidae.